GAUGAACGCUAGCGGCAGGCUUAAUACAUGCAAGUCGAACGGUAACAGAUCUUCGGAUGCUGACGAGUGGCGCACGGGUGAGGAACACGUACACAAUCUACCUUAUACAGGAGGAUAGCCCCGGGAAACUGGGAUUAAUACUCCAUAGUCUUUAAUGAUCACAUGAGAAAUAAAGUAAAGCUCCGGCGGUAUAAGAUGAGUGUGCGUCCCAUUAGAUAGUUGGUGAGGUAACGGCUCACCAAGUCUGCGAUGGGUAGCUGGCGUGAGAGCGCGACCAGCCACACUGGCACUGAGACACGGGCCAGACUCCUACGGGAGGCAGCAGUGGGGAAUUUUGGACAAUGGGCGCAAGCCUGAUCCAGCCAUGCCGCGUGAGUGAAGAAGGCC
RNAcentral lists this ribosomal RNA (387 nucleotides) under uncultured bacterium. Its description in RNAcentral is "bacterial SSU rRNA". It matches the Rfam family "Bacterial small subunit ribosomal RNA", at positions 28 to 416 of the family's 1533-position model. The record is from RNAcentral.